AUCUGUUUCCCCCAUUUCCCACUCCUCUGGAUCUCUCUAUCUCUCUCUCAAUCAUUCCCCCCACCAUUCAAUAUCCAGAGAGAGAAGAGACCUCCAUUCAUUCCCCCUUCUCCUUGUUUUGAUUGACAAAUAAUACGACACAAUGCCUUCAAUGGCCGCGGAAGAACUCUUUCUCCCCUCCACGCCGGGGAAAUUCAAGGAUAAAUCGCACUCGAUGCACCGCCAAUUGCACCGCUGCUUCGCCUCCACGAGCACCAUGUUCCUCUGGGCGCUCUUCCUCGUCGCGCUCACGGCGGCCUACCUCAGCUUCCAAUCCUUCGUCGACUCCGGCAGCAAGUACUUCACCACCGCGUGGGGCGGGAUCCACUGGGAGAAGCAGGUCCG
This 384-nucleotide long non-coding RNA is filed under the name Salvia miltiorrhiza (redroot sage). Its description in RNAcentral is "long non-coding RNA (SMIL_LNC001179)". The record is from RNAcentral. Lineage: Eukaryota; Viridiplantae; Streptophyta; Magnoliopsida; Lamiales; Lamiaceae.